UCCAGACUCCUACGGGAGGCAGCAGUGGGGGAUAUUGCACAAUGGGGGAAACCCUGAUGCAGCGACGCCGCGUGAGUGAAGAAGUAUUUCGGUAUGUAAAGCUCUAUCAGCAGGGAAGAAAAAAGACGGUACCUGACUAAGAAGCCCCGGCUAACUACGUGCCAGCAGCCGCGGUAAUACGUAGGGGGCAAGCGUUAUCCGGAUUUACUGGGUGUAAAGGGAGCGUAGACGGCAAUACAAGUCGGAAGUGAAAUACCCGGGCUCAACCUGGGAACUGCUUUGGAAACUGUAUGGCUGGAGUGCUGGAGAGGUAAGCGGAAUUCCUAGUGUAGCGGUGAAAUGCGUAGAUAUUAGGAGGAACACCAGUGGCGAAGGCGGCUUACUGGACAGUAACUGACGUUGAGGCUCGAAAGCGUGGGGAGCAAACAGGAUUAGAUACCCGUGUAC
This 447-nucleotide ribosomal RNA is filed under the name uncultured bacterium. Its description in RNAcentral is "partial 16S ribosomal RNA". It matches the Rfam family "Bacterial small subunit ribosomal RNA", at positions 330 to 793 of the family's 1533-position model. The record is from RNAcentral.